AGAGCGAACGCUGGCGGCAGGCCUAACACAUGCAAGUCGAGCGCCGUAGCAAUACGGAGCGGCAGACGGGAGAGUAACACGUGGGAACGUACCCUUUGGUUCGGAACAACCCAGGGAAGCUUGGGCUAAUACCGAAUAAGCCCUUACGGGGAAAGAUUUAUCGCCGAAGGAUCGGCCCGCGUCUGAUUAGCUAGUUGGUGGGGUAACGGCCCACCAAGGCGACGAUCAGUAGCUGGUCUGAGAGGAUGAUCAGCCUCAUUGGGACUGAGACACGGCCCAAACUCCUACGGGAGGCAGCAGUGGGGAAUAUUGGACAAUGGCGCAAGCCUGAUCCAGCCAUGCCGCGUGGGUGAUGAAGGCCCUAGGGUUGUAAAGCCCGUUUCGGCGGGGAAGAGUAAUGACGGUACCGCAGAAGAAGCCCGGCUAACUUCGUGCCAGCAGCCGC
Molecule: ribosomal RNA, 445 nt
Filed under: uncultured bacterium
Lineage: Bacteria
Description: SSU rRNA
Rfam family: Bacterial small subunit ribosomal RNA
Source: RNAcentral